This 253-nucleotide ribosomal RNA is filed under the name uncultured bacterium. Its description in RNAcentral is "partial 16S ribosomal RNA". It matches the Rfam family "Bacterial small subunit ribosomal RNA", at positions 524 to 776 of the family's 1533-position model. The record is from RNAcentral.
UACGGAGGGUGCAAGCGUUAUCCGGAUUCACUGGGUUUAAAGGGUGCGUAGGAGGGCAGGUAAGUCAGUGGUGAAAUCUCCAAGCUUAACUUGGAAACUGCCGUUGACACUAUCUGUCUUGAAUACCGUGGAGGUGAGCGGAAUAUGUCAUGUAGCGGUGAAAUGCUUAGAUAUGACAUAGAACACCAAUUGCGAAGGCAGCUCGCUACACGAAUAUUGACUCUGAGGCACGAAAGCGUGGGGAUCAAACAGG